RNAcentral lists this transfer RNA (481 nucleotides) under Streptomyces griseus. RNAcentral describes it as "tmRNA*ACASPRRPPGRPCRGAA*". Lineage: Bacteria; Bacillati; Actinomycetota; Actinomycetes; Kitasatosporales; Streptomycetaceae. The record is from RNAcentral. RNAcentral also lists the same sequence under 1 other name.
CGCGACGCGGCGCAGCGCGAGCCGGAGAAAAGCAACCAUCGUCGGGUUCCUUGCGAUCGGGCGGAGGGCGGGUCAGGGCCGCCCGGGUCCCGCCCUCACACCGCCGCGGUCGCCCGUGGUGGGCGGGCGGCGGUGUGACGACGGGGCCCGGCAGGCGGCGGCCCGGACCGGGUGGACGUCAGGCGCGGCCGACGUCCACGAAGGACAGGCCCGUGGUGGGCAGCGGCUUGAAGCCGGGGAGCGCCUUGUCGUUCCAGGCGGUGGGCAGCUUGCGGUGCAGGAUCGGGUAGAGCGCGGCCUCGUCGGCGACCAGAUCGGUGAUCUCGCCCCACAGUUGCUUGCGCGUCGCCUCGUCGGCCGCCCGGGCGGCCUUGUCGAGGAGCUGCUUGACCUUCUUGUACGCGGGGGAGCCGGCCCACGCGUAGCGCUUCUCGGGCCAGAAGCCGUAGUAGAACCAGCGCAUCAGGAGGUCGACGUCGUU